This 446-nucleotide ribosomal RNA is filed under the name uncultured bacterium. Its description in RNAcentral is "partial 16S ribosomal RNA". It matches the Rfam family "Bacterial small subunit ribosomal RNA", at positions 338 to 795 of the family's 1533-position model. The record is from RNAcentral.
CCUACGGGAGGCAGCAGUCGAGAAUCAUUCACAAUGGGGGAAACCCUGAUGGUGCGACGCCGCGUGGGGGAAUGAAGGUCUUCGGAUUGUAAACCCCUGUCAUGUGGGAGCAAAUUAAAAAGAUAGUACCACAAGAGGAAGAGACGGCUAACUCUGUGCCAGCAGCCGCGGUAAUACAGAGGUCUCAAGCGUUGUUCGGAAUCACUGGGCGUAAAGCGUGCGUAGGCUGUUUCGUAAGUCGUGUGUGAAAGGCGGGGGCUCAACCCGCGGACGGCACAUGAUACUGCGAGACUAGAGUAAUGGAGGGGGAAGCGGAAUUCUUGGUGUAGCAGUGAAAUGCGUAGAUAUCGAGAGGAACACUCGUGGCGAAGGCGGGUUCCUGGACAUUAACUGACGCUGAGGCACGAAGGCCAGGGGAGCGAAAGGGAUUAGAUACCCCUGUAGUC